RNAcentral lists this ribosomal RNA (527 nucleotides) under uncultured bacterium. RNAcentral describes it as "bacterial SSU rRNA". It matches the Rfam family "Bacterial small subunit ribosomal RNA", at positions 19 to 518 of the family's 1533-position model. The record is from RNAcentral.
CUGGCUCGGGACGAACGGCUGGCGGCGUGCCUAAUACAUGCAAGUCGAACGGUCUUUCUAUGGAAGCUUGCUUCCACUGAGAAGAUAGUGGCGAACGGGUGAGUAACACGUGGGUAACCUGCCCAUAAGAGGGGGAUAACAUCCGGAAACGGGUGCUAAUACCGCAUAGUUUUCUUGAUCGCAUGAUCGGGAAAGGAAAGACGGCCUUUGUGCUGUCGCUUAUGGAUGGACCCGCGGCGUAUUAGUUAGUUGGUGAGGUAAUGGCUCACCAAGACGAUGAUACGUAGCCGACCUGAGAGGGUGAUCGGCCACAUUGGGACUGAGACACGGCCCAAACUCCUACGGGAGGCAGCAGUAGGGAAUCUUCCGCAAUGGACGAAAGUCUGACGGAGCAACGCCGCGUGAGUGAAGAAAGGUUUUCGGAUCGUAAAACUCUGUUGUCAGAGAAGAACAAGUUGGAGAGUAACUGCUCCAGCCUUGACGGUAUCUGACCAGAAAGCCACGGCUAACUACGUGCCAGCCGCAGC